Molecule: ribosomal RNA, 484 nt
Filed under: uncultured bacterium
Lineage: Bacteria
Description: partial 16S ribosomal RNA
Rfam family: Bacterial small subunit ribosomal RNA
Source: RNAcentral
AUUGAACGCUGGCGGCAUGCUUUACACAUGCAAGUCGAACGGCAGCGCGGGCUUCGGCCUGGCGGCGAGUGGCGAACGGGUGAGUAAUACAUCGGAAAGUGCCCAGUAGUGGGGGAUAGCUCGGCGAAAGCCGGAUUAAUACCGCAUACGACCUGAGGGUGAAAGCGGGGGAUCUUCGGACCUCGCGCUAUUGGAGCGGCCGAUGGCAGAUUAGCAAGUUGGUGGGGUAAAGGCCUACCAAGGCGACGAUCUGUAGCUGGUCUGAGAGGACGACCAGCCACACUGGGACUGAGACACGGCCCAGACUCCUACGGGAGGCAGCAGUGGGGAAUUUUGGACAAUGGGCGAAAGCCUGAUCCAGCAAUGCCGCGUGUGUGAUGAAGGCCUUCGGGUUGUAAAGCACUUUUGGCGGGAACGAAAAGGACUGUGCCAAUACCACGGUUCGAUGACGGUACCCGCAGAAUAAGCACCGGCUAACUACGUG